Molecule: ribosomal RNA, 274 nt
Filed under: uncultured bacterium
Lineage: Bacteria
Description: partial 16S ribosomal RNA
Rfam family: Bacterial small subunit ribosomal RNA
Source: RNAcentral
AUACGGAGGGUGCAAGCGUUGUUCGGAAUUACUGGGCGUAAAGCGCGCGUAGGCGGUCUGUUAUGUCAGAUGUGAAAGUCCAUGGCUCAACCAUGGAAGUGCAUUUGAAACUGGCAGACUUGAGUACUGGAGGGGGUGGUGGAAUUCCCGGUGUAGAGGUGAAAUUCGUAGAUAUCGGGAGGAAUACCGGUGGCGAAGGCGACCACCUGGCCAGAUACUGACGCUGAGGUGCGAAAGCGUGGGGAGCAAACAGGAUUAGAUACCCCAGUAGUCC